CAGCCGCCGCGGUAAUACGUAGGGUGCGAGCGUUAAUCGGAAUUACUGGGUGUAAAGCGUGCGCAGGCGGUUUGUUAAGACAGAUGUGAAAUCCCCGGGCUCAACCUGGGAACUGCAUUUGUGACUGGCAAGCUAGAGUAUGGCAGAGGGGGGUGGAAUUCCGCGUGUAGCAGUGAAAUGCGUAGAUAUGCGGAGGAACACCGAUGGCGAAGGCAGCCCCCUGGGCCAAUACUGACGCUCAUGCACGAAAGCGUGGGGAGCAAACAGGAUUAGAUACCCGUGUAGUCCCUGUCUCUUAUAC
This 301-nucleotide ribosomal RNA is filed under the name uncultured bacterium. RNAcentral describes it as "partial 16S ribosomal RNA". It matches the Rfam family "Bacterial small subunit ribosomal RNA", at positions 509 to 807 of the family's 1533-position model. The record is from RNAcentral.